UACAGAGGUCUCAAGCGUUGUUCGGAUUUACUGGGCGUAAAGGGCGCGUAGGCGGCCAGCACAAGUCAGUUGUGAAAUCUCCGAGCUUAACUCGGAAAGGUCAACUGAUACUGUGCGGCUAGAGUGCGGAAAGGGCAACUGGAAUUCUUGGUGUAGCGGUGAAAUGCGUAGAUAUCAAGAGGAACACCUGCGGCGAAGGCGGGUUGCUGGGCCGACACUGACGCUGAGGCGCGAAAGCCAGGGGAGCGAACGGG
This 254-nucleotide ribosomal RNA is filed under the name uncultured bacterium. RNAcentral's name for it is "partial 16S ribosomal RNA". It matches the Rfam family "Bacterial small subunit ribosomal RNA", at positions 524 to 776 of the family's 1533-position model. The record is from RNAcentral.